RNAcentral lists this ribosomal RNA (468 nucleotides) under uncultured bacterium. Its description in RNAcentral is "partial 16S ribosomal RNA". It matches the Rfam family "Bacterial small subunit ribosomal RNA", at positions 28 to 507 of the family's 1533-position model. The record is from RNAcentral.
GAUGAACGCUGGCGGCGUGCCUAACACAUGCAAGUCGAACGGAAAGGCCCUGCUCUUGUGGGGUGCUCGAGUGGCGAACGGGUGAGUAUCACGUGUGUAACCUGCCCUUGUCUUUCGGAUAACAUCAGGAAACUGGGGCUAAUAUCGGAUAGGAGAUCCCGCACCGCGGUGGGGGUUGGAAAGUCUGGGCGGUUGGGGAUGGACUCGCGGCUUAUGAGCUGGUUGGUGGGGUAGUGGCUUACCAAGUCUUUGACGGAUACCCGACCUGGGAGGGUGGCCGGGGUCAAUACGCCUAAGGUACGGCGCAGACGCGAACGUUAGGCAACGGGCGGAAGUAUUACACAGUGAGCGCGAGCGUGUGACGAAGACGUCGGGUUCGGGAAGACGUGCUUCGGGGUAAGAACAGCUUUCGCCUGUGACGAAGCGUGAGUGACGGUAAUGAAUAAAGAAGCACCGGCUAACUACGUG